AUGAAACUGCCCAGUAUCUAUUGCUUGAGAGCUUAGAUAGCUUUGGUGGUGGAGGCUGAGAACUGAGAAGCUUUGGAAGUUGAGACUUAAAGCUGAGGUAGCUUUGGAAGUUGAGACUUAAAGCUGAGGUAGCUUUGGAAGUUGAGACUUAAAGCUGAGGUAGCUUUGGAAGUUGAUACUUUAAGCCAUGGAAGUUAAGACCUAGAUUUGAGGAGGCUUUGGAAGUUGAGACCUAGAGUUGAGGAGGCUUUGGAAGUUGAGACCUAGAUUUGAGGCAGCUUUGGAAGUUGAGACCUAGAUUUGAGGCAGCUUUGGUGGUGGAAGCUGAGAUGCAAGGUAGCUUUGGAAGUUAAGACAUCCAGGUAGCUUUGGAAGUUAAGACAUCCAAGGUAGCUUUGGAAGUUAAGAUCUAGAGUUGAAGCAGCAUUGGUGGUGGAGGCUGUUCGAGUUCGAGUGUCUUAACAAACUUGUAUACUGUACAUAUGCCUAGAUUUAUUUAAUCUUUCUCUACAUAUAUUGAUGAAAUUUUGCCAGAAAUUUUGAUUUAAGAAUGAUAUUUUGCUAUAAUUGCCAGCAUUCAGCCUUAAUACACCUGAAAUGACUAGUAACCAAAAAUUACUGCUAUCAAUUAUACAAAAAAUGUGAUAUUUUGCAAAUUUUUUAUAAUUUCUGUUUGUACCAAUAUUACAUAGAGUAACGAACAAAUACAAUGUAUAGUGAUACUGCUGAUUUAGUACCUUGUACCCCAGGGGCCUGCAACAUUGUUACAACCUUGUACCCCAGGGGCCUGCAACAUUGUUACAACCUUGUACCCCAGGGGCCUGCAACAUUGUUUCUGGGAUCCCUCCAGAAACAUUGUUACAACCUUGUAUCACAGGGGCCUGCAACAUUGUUUCUGGGAUCCCUCCAGAAACAUUGUUACAACCUUGUAUCACAGGGGCCUGCAACAUUGUUUCUGGGAUUACUCAAGAAACAUUGUUACAACCUUGUAUCACAGUGACCUCCAACAUUGUUUCUGGGAUCCCUCCAGAAACAUUGUUUCAACCUUGUAUCACAGGGGCCUGCAACAUUGUUUCCUGGAUUACUCAAGAAACAUUGUUACAACCUUGUAUCACAGGGACCUCAACAUUGAUUCUGGGAUCCCUCCAGAAACAUUGUUUCAACCCUGUAUCACAGGGACCCUGCAACAUUGUUUCUUGGAUUCAUCCACAAACAUUGUUUCAACCUUGUAUCUAAGGGGCCUGCAACAUUGUUUCUGAGCUCCCUCCAGAAACUUUCUUACAACCUUGUACCCCAGGGGCCUGCAACAUUGUUUCUGGGAUCCCUCCAGAAACAUUGUUACAACCUUGUAUCACAGGGGCCUGCAACAUUGUUUCUGGGAUCCCUCCAGAAACAUUGUUACAACCUUGUAUCACAGGGGCCUGCAACAUUGUUUCUGGGAUUACUCAAGAAACAUUGUUACAACCUUGUAUCACAGUGACCUCCAACAUUGUUUCUGGGAUCCCUCCAGAAACAUUGUUUCAACCUUGUAUCACAGGGGCCUGCAACAUUGUUUCUUGGAUUACUCAAGAAACAUUGUUACAACCUUGUAUCACAGUGACCUCCAACAUUGUUUCUGGGAUCCCUCCAGAAACGUUGUUACAGGCCACUGUGCCUUGUACUGUAUAUUUAUAUUUUUCUUUAGAUUACUAUAGAAUUAUUUCUGUUUAUACAUGAUAACACAUUUAAAGAUUCAUUGCUGGUGUUUUGUUUGUUUAUUUAUAUAUGUAUGUUUAAAAAUUGAUAUGCUUCUUUGAAUAUACAUUACUUAUAUACUAAUACAAAAUAUUUUGAAAGCAUGUGUAACAUUGAAAAUUCAGACUAGCUACUGGUAAAAUUUUGGCAUUUAUAUAAAUAGAUCUUAUUACUGAUGGUAAUUUAACAUCAAUUUGGGUAGUAUCAUGGGAUAUGUCUUGUCGUCUGAAGUUUUGAAUUUUUCAGUAAUGUAGAAUUUCUACAAUUGUUAAACAAAAAAUUUGUGUAAAUAUUUCAGCAUCUUUUCACAACUUUUAUGAUAAAUUUAGAAAACCCACCAUGUCAAUGUACAAAUGUAGAUAUAGCAUUACUAGGAAUGAGGUAUGGUUAUCAUUACAUUCACAGGAAACCUUAUUGAUUAUAGUAUUAAGCUGUAAAUAAACCCAUUCUCAGUAAUACGUCACAGAAAGGUGCUGCUGUUUAUUAGAAAUACAGACAGUAGAUAGUCUGAAGUGAGGUGGUUUUACAGAGACACAUCAGGACGAGGUGGUUUUACAGAGACGCAUCAGGACGAAGUGGUUUUACAGAGACACAUUGGUACUGGGUAUAUAUUGAGUCCGAGUUUUUGUGUUGGUUCACUUGGGCUUAUCACAUGAUAAAUACAGGGAAUAAUGGACUAGUUAUGAGAUGGUUUAACAGGGUCACAUCAGUGGUGAGUAGAUUUUAAGUAAAGAUAUUUUGUGUCAGGCCACUUAGGCUUAUUACAUGAUAGAUACUGAGUAUGAUAAAGGCUAGGCUAUGAGGUGGUUUAACAGGGUCACAUCAGUGCUGAGUAGAUUUUGAGUUUGUUCACCAGGGCUUAAUACAAUAUGACAAUUAUGAUAAGGGUCUGGCUAAGAGGUGAUUUCACACAGACACAUCAGUGGUGUGUAGUUUUUGUGCCAUUGAACUCACAUUGUUGUAAUAAAUGUUUUAUUCUUUCUCACUAAAGUCAUUUGUCUCACAUAAAAUGUCACUUUCAAAUUUCAUUAUUUUGUUUUUUCCCUGUUUCUUUUUCAUAUUUCCAUCUCUUUUAAAAUUCUGUUUUGCGGUUAUGUGGAGUUGACAGUGGAAAACAAAAGACUAAUUGCAAAAUGUUUGAUCCUAGUAUAGUGUCACAGAAAUCAGUUUAGGCAAUGAUUUUCUUUAAAAUAUAUUUUAUAUCUGUAUGGUUUGUGUCGGAUUAAUGGACAGCUACAUCAGAUAUUGUCUGAAUCGUAUUAGUUGUUCAUAUGAAAAUUUAAAAUUGUAUUCCUUUUGGAAUUAGAAAAAUAAAUUAGAAUUUGUUAUCCAA
Ylistrum balloti is the source of this 3067-nucleotide long non-coding RNA. RefSeq lists it as uncharacterized. The record is from RefSeq and is a predicted model, not a curated record. The transcript has 2 exons. Lineage: Eukaryota; Metazoa; Mollusca; Bivalvia; Pectinida; Pectinidae.